RNAcentral lists this ribosomal RNA (253 nucleotides) under uncultured bacterium. Its description in RNAcentral is "partial 16S ribosomal RNA". It matches the Rfam family "Bacterial small subunit ribosomal RNA", at positions 524 to 776 of the family's 1533-position model. The record is from RNAcentral.
UACGAAGGGGGCUAGCGUUGUUCGGAAUUACUGGGCGUAAAGCGCACGUAGGCGGACAUUUAAGUCAGAGGUGAAAUCCCGGGGCUCAACCUCGGAACUGCCUUUGAUACUGGGUGUCUAGAGUAUGGAAGAGGUAAGUGGAAUUGCGAGUGUAGAGGUGAAAUUCGUAGAUAUUCGCAGGAACACCAGUGGCGAAGGCGGCUUACUGGUCCAUUACUGACGCUGAGGUGCGAAAGCGUGGGGAGCAAACAGG